RNAcentral lists this transfer RNA (876 nucleotides) under Mesorhizobium sp. Leb-2. RNAcentral describes it as "16S-23S ribosomal RNA intergenic spacer". The stretch from base 321 to 394 matches the Rfam family "tRNA". Lineage: Bacteria; Pseudomonadati; Pseudomonadota; Alphaproteobacteria; Hyphomicrobiales; Phyllobacteriaceae. The record is from RNAcentral.
UCUAAGGAAGAACUCUAAUGGAAACGCUUAAUCGCUCGUCUUCGGAUGAGAGAUGAUGAGCCUCUGCCUUUCAGUUCUCUUGGAACAAGACGGCAAAGAGUCACUUUGACCGUCGCGCAUACCUUAAGCGGGUCUGCCGCCUUCGUUUCUCUUUCUUCAGCGAAUGACUUUGGAUUGCGCUCGCGCGCCGUACCGCAGCCUUUGGCUGCUGACGCUCCGCGAGGGCGCGGCACGAGCCGCGACGGCGCCGGUUUUAGUUCAGCUUGGCGGCCUUGCGAGGCUCUGCCUCGAAGCCGGCUACCAUCUGCGCUUGGGGCUAAGGGCUUGUAGCUCAGUUGGUUAGAGCGCGCGCUUGAUAAGCGUGAGGUCGGAGGUUCAAGUCCUCCCAGGCCCACCAUCUCCUCGAUCACCAUAUCCGGGACAACAAUCAGGGGCCGUAGCUCAGCUGGGAGAGCGCCUGCUUUGCAAGCAGGAUGUCGUCGGUUCGAUCCCGUCCGGCUCCACCACUCGCGCAAUCCCGAAGGGAUUGUCGCGGUUCGCGACGAUCCUGCGGAUCGCGCGGAGGUGUUGAGUAGAGAUGAGGCGCCGAAAAAAGUCAUUCGUAUAAAGGUUUGUGGUGAGCUUCUGGCUUGCUGCUUGUUCUGUUUGACAUCGUAAAGAGAAGAUUUGUUCGAACUUCAUGAGCCGAAAGGGUCGUGAUUUGUCGCAAGGGACGCUCAAUCCCUUGCAUAUGAUGGGUUUGCCUAACCGCGCCCUCGAACCGAUCUCGAGAAGCUGGUCUUUUUGUGCCAAUGACAUCGGGUCAAAUCCCGCACAGGAUUUGGCCCAUGCGACAAUCCCUUCGGGAUUGCGCGGAUGGGCAUUGGCAAUGAGAAC